Molecule: transfer RNA, 76 nt
Filed under: Lachnospiraceae bacterium
Lineage: Bacteria; Bacillati; Bacillota; Clostridia; Lachnospirales; Lachnospiraceae
Description: tRNA-Thr
Rfam family: tRNA
About the family: Transfer RNA (tRNA) molecules are approximately 80 nucleotides in length. Their secondary structure includes four short double-helical elements and three loops (D, anti-codon, and T loops).
Source: RNAcentral
GCCGAUAUAACUCAGUUGGUAGAGUAGCUCAUUCGUAAUGAGCAAGCCAAGGGUUCGAGCCCCUUUAUCGGCUCUA